CCUACGGGAGGCAGCAGUAGGGAAUCUUCCACAAUGGGCGAAAGCCUGAUGGAGCACCGCCGCGUGGGUGAAGAAGGUCUUCGGAGCGUAAAACCCUGUUGAUAGAGAAGAAAGGGCGGGAGAGUAACUGGUCACGUGUCGACGGUAUCUAACAAGAAAGCCACGGCUAACUACGGGCCAGCAGCCGGGGUAAUACGUAGGUGGCAAGCGUUAUCCGGAUUUAUUGGGCGUAAGGGGAACGCAGGCGGUCUUUUAAGUCUGAUGUGAACGCCUUCGGCUUAACCGGAGUAGUGCAUUGGACACUGGGAGACUUGAGUGCAGCAGCGGCGAGUGGAACUCCAUGUGUAGCGGU
This 352-nucleotide ribosomal RNA is filed under the name uncultured bacterium. RNAcentral's name for it is "partial 16S ribosomal RNA". It matches the Rfam family "Bacterial small subunit ribosomal RNA", at positions 338 to 682 of the family's 1533-position model. The record is from RNAcentral.